GGCAGGGCCAGCCCUGGGAAGCUGGAGGAAGAGGCCGUUUUUCCAUUCUCCACUCAGGGCCUUGCUGGCCGCCUGGCCAGCCUGGAUGCUUCUUCUUGCGGCUAAUCUCCUGGGGCAAGUACACCAGGAUAACUACAGUCACACUCACUGACUGGAUGCAGAGGAAAGGCUCUAGAUGCACGAAGGGGAUCUGCUGAGAAGGAGGCUGCACAGCCCUCCAGUUGGGGUCGCUUAUCAGCUUGGCAUUGAGACCAGCUCUUGAAUUAGUUAUUUGCUUAGUCAGGAGCAAGUGGUGAAAAUGAGCUGAGGCUGAAUAUAGAGAUCAUACAGGACUAUGGGGAUCAGCCCAAAGGACCAAAGGACCAGAAAAGAGGUUU
Molecule: long non-coding RNA, 377 nt
Organism: Peromyscus maniculatus bairdii (prairie deer mouse)
Lineage: Eukaryota; Metazoa; Chordata; Mammalia; Rodentia; Cricetidae
Source: RefSeq, a predicted model, not a curated record